RNAcentral lists this ribosomal RNA (253 nucleotides) under uncultured bacterium. RNAcentral's name for it is "partial 16S ribosomal RNA". It matches the Rfam family "Bacterial small subunit ribosomal RNA", at positions 524 to 776 of the family's 1533-position model. The record is from RNAcentral.
CACGUAGGGCGCAAGCGUUGUUCGGAAUUACUGGGCGUAAAGAGUGUGUAGGCGGUGCUCUAAGUUCGGUGUGAAAUCUCCCGGCUUAACUGGGAGGGUGCGCCGGAAACUGGAGUGCUCGAGCGUGGGAGAGGAAAGCGGAAUUCCUGGUGUAGCGGUGAAAUGCGUAGAUAUCAGGAGGAACACCUGCGGUGUAGACGGCUUUCUGGACCAUUGCUGACGCUGAGACACGAAAGCGUGGGUAGCAAACAGG